CAUGCCUUACACAUGCAAGUCGAACGGCAGCACGGGAGCUUGCUCCUGGUGGCGAGUGGCGAACGGGUGAGUAAUAUAUCGGAACGUGCCCUAGAGUGGGGGAUAACUAGUCGAAAGAUUAGCUAAUACCGCAUACGAUCUAAGGAUGAAAGUGGGGGAUCGCAAGACCUCAUGCUCGUGGAGCGGCCGAUAUCUGAUUAGCUAGUUGGUGAGGUAAAGGCUCACCAAGGCGACGAUCAGUAGCUGGUCUGAGAGGACGACCAGCCACACUGGAACUGAGACACGGUCCAGACUCCUACGGGAGGCAGCAGUGGGGAAUUUUGGACAAUGGGCGAAAGCCUGAUCCAGCAAUGCCGCGUGAGUGAAGAAGGCCUUCGGGUUGUAAAGCUCUUUUGUCAGGGAAGAAACGGUAGAGGCUAAUAUCCUUUACUAAUGACGGUACCUGAAGAAUAAGCACCGGCUAACUACGUGCCAGCAGCCGCGGUAAUACGUAGGGUGCAAGCGUUAAUCGGAAUUACUGGGCGUAAAGCGUGCGCAGGCGGUUGUGCAAGACAGAUGUGAAAUCCCCGGGCUCAACCUGGGAAUUGCAUUUGUGACUGCACAGCUAGAGUGUGUCAGAGGGGGGUAGAAUUCCACGUGUAGCAGUGAAAUGCGUAGAUAUGUGGAGGAAUACCGAUGGCGAAGGCAGCCCCCUGGGAUAACACUGACGCUCAUGCACGAAAGCGUGGGGAGCAAACAGGAUUAGAUACCCUGGUAGUCCACGCCCUAAACGAUGUCUACUAGUUGUCGGGUCUUAAUUGACUUGGUAACGCAGCUAACGCGUGAAGUAGACCGCCUGGGGAGUACGGUCGCAAGAUUAAAACUCAAAGGAAUUGACGGGGACCCGCACAAGCGGUGGAUGAUGUGGAUUAAUUCGAUGCAACGCGAAAAACCUUACCUACCCUUGACAUGGUCGGAAUCCUGAAGAGAUUUAGGAGUGCUCGAAAGAGAACCGACACACAGGUGCUGCAUGGCUGUCGUCAGCUCGUGUCGUGAGAUGUUGGGUUAAGUCCCGCAACGAGCGCAACCCUUGUCAUUAGUUGCUACGAAAGGGCACUCUAAUGAGACUGCCGGUGACAAACCGGAGGAAGGUGGGGAUGACGUCAAGUCCUCAUGGCCCUUAUGGGUAGGGCUUCACACGUCAUACAAUGGUACAUACAGAGGGCCGCCAACCCGCGAGGGGGAGCUAAUCCCAGAAAGUGUAUCGUAGUCCGGAUUGUAGUCUGCAACUCGACUACAUGAAGUUGGAAUCGCUAGUAAUCGCGGAUCAGCAUGUCGCGGUGAAUACGUUCCCGGGUCUUGUACACACCGCCCGUCACACCAUGGGAGCGGGUUCUGCCAGAAGUAGUUAGCCUAACCGUAAGGAGGGCGAUUA
This 1414-nucleotide ribosomal RNA is filed under the name Herbaspirillum lusitanum. RNAcentral's name for it is "bacterial SSU rRNA". It matches the Rfam family "Bacterial small subunit ribosomal RNA". The record is from RNAcentral. Lineage: Bacteria; Pseudomonadati; Pseudomonadota; Betaproteobacteria; Burkholderiales; Oxalobacteraceae.